AAUAAAAAAUAAAAAAUCUAUGAUAUAAAAAUUAAAAAGAAAUUGGACUUCUUCCUAAAAGAAAACAAAAAUGGUUUGGCUGAUCUGUUUGACAGUGAGGACUAGCUUUACCAAUUAGAUUAUAUGAUGUUUUUUACAAACUGAAUGAGUUAUAUAUUUAAAAUAUACUUAGAGCAUAUAUGAUAAAAUAAUUUUAUGAAAAAUAUUGACAAAUCUCUUUGUGGUCUAUGGGCCAGAAAUGGACUCCACAAAUGGACUUUUUUUCUUUUAAUUUUUUUAUUGUACUUUAGAUGAAGGUUUACAGAACACAUAGUUUCUCAUUAAACAGUACACAUAUUGUUUUAUGACAGUGGUUAACAACCCCACAGAUUGUCAACACUGUCCCUUCUCAACCUUAGGUUGCCUAUUACGCAAAUGGACUUUUAAAAAGGGCUCCAUCAGUAUCGGUUCCUGCUGGAGAUAAGGACAGCCUGGGCAGAAGAAGCUGGCAUCAUAUAGUUGUAUGUGGAAACUGAAGGGUCUUCAUGAGAAGCCAGCUGGAGAAGAAGCACCACCAGGUCAAGUGAGGGGCAGUUGGAGACCUCAGUGGUGUUAUUUUUGAGAAACCCAGGAAGUGAAGAAUCUAUCAUGGGAAAUGCCAUACCUAGAGGGCAGCACUACCAGAGGAUAUCAGCCUUUUCCUCUCCACCACUCUCCUCACCAACUUCCGAGAAGCCAGAGGCAGCGAGUAGAAUGGAGGGAUGGAGAAUAAGAGAUGCAAGGGAAGGAAACAGAGAAGCCAGCCAGGACCCCUCUCUACAUUAGGUGGAACAAGUAUUUCAAAUGACUGGUGACCUUCAGCCUGAUUCAUACCUGGAGUUUCAAUCUUACUUUUGAGUCGACGAGGGAGAGCUACCAACUGAUUCUGAUCCCGAUCAAGCAUUGGAACCAUCUUCGAGAACCUCCGAAGCCGAGCUCCAGCCACUUGGUCAGCGGCAGGGACAGAGCGCUUCACCAGCCUCUCUGCAUAGUCGAAAGUGCUAGCCAGUUUCUGGCGGCCAGACCUCUUCUUCCUCCAAACUGAAAUCGAGACAUUCUUCCUCCCCUUGACGGAACCGCCUCCAAGAAGAGGAACUGACAUGCAAAAUGGACGCUAUUUAGUGGGGCCAAGAGGGGAAUGAACACACGUUAAAGUUAUUUUACUCUAAAAGGCUGCUAUUUCCUCAACUCUCCGUAUCCUCUUUGUUCUAAAUCCGAUUAUUAACCCACCACUCUAUUAGGUAGGGGGUACCACUAAUCAGUGAUGACGCCAAAUUUUCUGUAGGAGGGGGCUUGAGGAGUGGGCAAUUUGGUCUCAGAGAGAAGGACUGAAUCCAAGUAGCUAGCACUUUACAUGGGCGUCGAAAAACUUCCCCAUCCCACUUUGACUCAACACGGCCAUUAAUCCAGAAAAAGUAACAACCCACUUUUCAGAGGUUCACCUUUGUGUACAUGGAGAAGGAUGUUAAAGUCAGCAUGUUAAAGACUUUUCUUGGAAUACUAUAACCAAUACCUGUUUCUUUUAUACCCCUUCUUAUAAUUGUUUAUAGCCCUUCUUAUAAUCGUUUAUUUUCUAGCAUAACCCCUAGCAUGUAAACUCCAAGGGGUGCGGGGGGGGAUGCUUCAUCAUCUUAUUCCCUGUGCCUAGCAUAUAGCUUGGCACAUAGUAAUGGUUUUAGAAUAGAACUCAUUUCAAGAUUGGUCUCAUAAGGAUGGGGUCUUCUGUUUUAAUCAGGCUUCUGAAUUCUUUAGCACCAAUGUUUAAUCCCUUCCUUUUAUAUUUAUAAGGAAGCUACACUUCUGUUUUCCCUCUAAAUUUAUUUUGUUGUUGAGAAUAUACACAGCAAAACAUAAACCAAUCCAACCGUUUCUACAAGUACAAUUUAGUGACAUUGAUUACAUUCUUCAAGUUGUGCAACCAUUCUCA
Long non-coding RNA from Trichechus manatus latirostris (Florida manatee), 1945 nucleotides. RefSeq lists it as uncharacterized. Lineage: Eukaryota; Metazoa; Chordata; Mammalia; Sirenia; Trichechidae. The record is from RefSeq and is a predicted model, not a curated record. The transcript has 3 exons.